CUCAACCUCAAGGCGUGCAGUGGAUACUGGCAGGCUUGAGAGCGGGGGAGGUCAGGGGUACUUACGGGGUAUGAGUAAAAUCAGUUGAUCCUGUAGGGACCACCAGUGGCGAAGGCGCCUGACCAAAACGCGUCUGACAGUGAGGGUCGAAGGCUAGGAGAACAAAUCGGAUUAGAUACCCGAGUAGCCCUAGCAGUAAAUUAUGCAGACUGUGGUGUUGCCGCGGCUUCGGGCCACGGCAGUGCUGUAGCGUAGGUGUUAAGUCUGCCACCUGGGGAGUACGGCCGCAAGGUUGAAACUUAAAGGAAUUGGCGGGGGAGCACCACAAGGGGUGGAUGCUGCGGUUCAAUUGGAUUCAACGCCGG
RNAcentral lists this ribosomal RNA (365 nucleotides) under uncultured archaeon. Its description in RNAcentral is "bacterial SSU rRNA". It matches the Rfam family "Archaeal small subunit ribosomal RNA", at positions 558 to 921 of the family's 1478-position model. The record is from RNAcentral.